UACGGGGGGAGCAAGCGUUGUUCGGAUUUACUGGGCGUAAAGGGCGCGUAGGCGGCCACCGCAAGUCGGUUGUGAAAUCUCUGGGCUUAACCCAGAAAGGUCAAUCGAUACUGCGGGGCUAGAGUGCAGAAGGGGCAACUGGAAUUCUCGGUGUAGCGGUGAAAUGCGUAGAUAUCGAGAGGAACACCUGCGGCGAAGGCGGGUUGCUGGGCUGACACUGACGCUGAGACGCGAAAGCGUGGGGAGCGAACAGG
RNAcentral lists this ribosomal RNA (254 nucleotides) under uncultured bacterium. RNAcentral describes it as "partial 16S ribosomal RNA". It matches the Rfam family "Bacterial small subunit ribosomal RNA", at positions 524 to 776 of the family's 1533-position model. The record is from RNAcentral.